ACGAUGGAUAGGGGUUCUGAGAGGAAGGUCCCCCACAUUGGAACUGAGACACGGUCCAAACUCCUACGGGAGGCAGCAGUGAGGAAUAUUGGUCAAUGGGCGAGAGCCUGAACCAGCCAAGUAGCGUGAAGGAUGAAGGUUCUAUGGAUUGUAAACUUCUUUUAUAAGGGAAUAAAGUGCUUUACGUGUAGAGUUUUGUAUGUACCUUAUGAAUAAGCAUCGGCUAACUCCGUGCCAGCAGCCGCGGUAAUACGGAGGAUGCGAGCGUUAUCCGGAUUUAUUGGGUUUAAAGGGAGCGUAGACGGGAUGUUAAGUCAGCUGUGAAAGUUUGGGGCUCAACCUUAAAAUUGCAGUUGAAACUGGCGUUCUUGAGUGCGGUAGAGGCAGGCGGAAUUCGUGGUGUAGCGGUGAAAUGCUUAGAUAUCACGAAGAACUCCAAUUGCGAAGGCAGCUUGCUGGAGCGUAACUGACGUUGAUGCUCGAAAGUGUGGGUAUCAAACAGGAUUAGAUACCCUGGUAGUCCACACGGUAAACGAUGGAUACUCGCUGUUGGCGAUAUACAGUCAGCGGCCAAGCGAAAGCAUUAAGUAUCCCACCUGGGGAGUACGCCGGCAACGGUGAAACUCAAAGGAAUUGACGGGGGCCCGCACAAGCGGAGGAACAUGUGGUUUAAUUCGAUGAUACGCGAGGAACCUUACCCGGGCUUAAAUUAUGCAUGAAUGAUCUGGAGACAGGUCAGCCGCAAGGCAUGUAUGAAGGUGCUGCAUGGUUGUCGUCAGCUCGUGCCGUGAGGUGUCGGCUUAAGUGCCAUAACGAGCGCAACCCUUUCUGCCAGUUACUAACAGGCAAUGCUGAGGACUCUGGCGGUACUGCCAUCGUAAGAUGUGAGGAAGGUGGGGAUGACGUCAAAUCAGCACGGCCCUUACGUCCGGGGCUACACACGUGUUACAAUGGGGGGUACAGAAGGCAGCUUGCCGGCGACGGUUGGCCAAUCCCGAAAGCCCCUCUCAGUUCGGACUGGAGUCUGCAACCCGACUCCACGAAGCUGGAUUCGCUAGUAAUCGCGCAUCAGCCACGGCGCGGUGAAUACGUUCCCGGGCCUUGUACACACCGCCCGUCAAGCCAUGAAAGCCGGGAGUACCUGAAGUGCGUAACCGC
Molecule: ribosomal RNA, 1158 nt
Filed under: Bacteroides caecigallinarum
Lineage: Bacteria; Pseudomonadati; Bacteroidota; Bacteroidia; Bacteroidales; Bacteroidaceae
Description: bacterial SSU rRNA
Rfam family: Bacterial small subunit ribosomal RNA
Source: RNAcentral